UUGAGAACAAAAAGGCAUAGGUACUAAGAAUAUCAUACAUGUAGUGUUAGUUCCCCAAUUAAUAUCUGAAGAGGUCUGUGACAAGGUAAGACAAUGAAGCUUGCCCACAAAGAGGUCUACAAUCAUCCAAGGAAGACAGCUGGUCCUUGUUGGGGAUUCAGUAUUCAGAAGAAUUGAAAGAAUAUUCUGUAAGGGACAGGCAGACAGAAGGACAAAUAUGCUGUCUUCUCAGAGCCUAGACACAAGACAUCACUCUAAGAUUGGAUUGGCUUCGAAAGUCAACAGGCAAGGAUCCACUGGUGGUGGUUCAUAUCGGCACUAAUGACACUACAUCACAGGAUCUCUCUCAGAUAAUUCAUGUGAAAGAAGACAGAAGAUUCUGGCGGUGAACAUGGUCCGGUGAGUCAUCCAUCAAAUCCUGAUCUCGACAGCAGCAGCAUCUGGACACGGUUGUUAACUCUUUGGAGCAGGAAUGGACUUUUCGUUCUUCAUUUGUACAACACCAAGCCCAAUGGGGUCCUGGUCCAUGACUACAUCUCUUAGUAACUAUGCACAAGGCUAAACAAUUGAGCCUUGCAUGGCAUCACUGGCCAGACAAGGCAGGAUGACAACUGCCCCUUGCUCAUAUGGGUCACCACCAAGACACAUUAUCUGCUGGGCACAGCAGCCAACUAGACUCUGGGUGCAGAUCUCCCCACCAGAAGAAAGAAGCCCUUGGGGCAGCUGGGCUCCCAGAGACAAACUGCACAAAUGCUCUGGUGAGGAUGUACAAUACCAACAGAAGGACAUCAGUAAUUACUGCACUGGCUGUGGAGAAGAUCCAGCAGGAUCCUGCAAAGGGGACUUGGAAGCAGAGGAGCCAUCUAUAGAAUCAUCUUUCUUUCCUAAGACAUUGCCCUAGCUCUUCCCCCAUAGCUCCAUGCAGAUGAGGUUCUAGAGAGCCAACUCGUCUUGAGCCAAGUGCCAGAAGAUUAAGGGCCCAAUUGCUCCCCUACUGACAUUUGUAGAA
Mauremys mutica (yellowpond turtle) is the source of this 1009-nucleotide long non-coding RNA. RefSeq lists it as uncharacterized. The transcript has 6 exons. The record is from RefSeq and is a predicted model, not a curated record. Lineage: Eukaryota; Metazoa; Chordata; Testudines; Geoemydidae.